Monomorium pharaonis (pharaoh ant) is the source of this 892-nucleotide long non-coding RNA. RefSeq lists it as uncharacterized. The transcript is spliced from 3 exons. Lineage: Eukaryota; Metazoa; Arthropoda; Insecta; Hymenoptera; Formicidae. The record is from RefSeq and is a predicted model, not a curated record.
AAAUUGUGUGUGUGUGUGUGUGAGUGAGUUUGGUCAUUACGGGAUUCAUUGGAAUUUAAAACAAUAAUUUUCUAAACCAUCUAAUGCCAUACAAUUCCAUAACCUCUACGGAUUCCAUAGGAUUGAAUGGGAUUGAAAAUUUCUUUUUUGGAUUCCAUGGGAUUAGAUCAUCUCAUUUCGAAUCCCAUCUAAUUCCAUCUAAUUCCGUCAAAAAAGGAAUUCAAAGGUAUUAAAAAUUUUUAAUACCUUUGAAUCCUUUUUCGUUUGCUGGGAAUAUAACAGACGUUACACUCUAUUUAUAUUAUAGUUACGAAACUUUACUACAUAUAUGUGAUGUAACAAAGUUAUGAAGCUAUAAUAUUACUUCGUUAUUUGUAUGUUACAAUAACCGGACAGUGAUGUAACCACAAUGUUGCGUGGUUACACAACAAUUGUUUUACUUAUGUUAUAUGGAUAUUAUAAAAUUUGAAUCUUGUGAGACUCUAACCUCAAUCGCACAACGUACAUCUCGUGCAUUAGGCGCGCUUUCCCCUAGUGGAUGCUAUAAUGACGAAAGAGAGACGUUGUUUUCUUGCAACUUGACUUUAAUCAGGAUUCUGCCAAUUAUUCUUACAUCAUUCGGACAACUGUUCUUCUUAAAAUUUAAAAGAACGUAAAGAAUAACUGAAGUUUAUAAAAGCUGAAGAAAUUUUCACAAGGAUUAGAACAGAAAACUGAACUCAAAUGGAAGCGCUUGCACUCAUGUCACUAUCAUGUCCUGACAAUUUCGGAUUUUAUAAAACUAUAGGAGACGUGAUUGACGUUGAGAUUGUGAUUGACAGCUGGAGCAAAGCUAUAAUUUAGUUCAACAUUACGUGAAGUUUAUUUAAUGUUUUUCUCUUAUUUUCCCUCG